RNAcentral lists this ribosomal RNA (539 nucleotides) under Johora tiomanensis. RNAcentral's name for it is "16S rRNA". It matches the Rfam family "Bacterial large subunit ribosomal RNA", at positions 1831 to 2625 of the family's 2925-position model. Lineage: Eukaryota; Metazoa; Arthropoda; Malacostraca; Decapoda; Potamidae. The record is from RNAcentral.
GUCUGUUUGAAGAUAUAAAGAGUCUAGCCUGCCCACUGAUUUAUGAGUUAAAGGGCCGCAGUAUUAUGACUGUGCAAAGGUAGCAUAAUUAUUAGGUUUUUAAUUGGAAUCUCGUAUGAAUGGUUGGACAAAAGAACAGCUGUCUUUAAAUUAAAUUUUGAACUUAACUUUUAAGUGAAAAGGCUUAAAUAUUCUAAAGGGACGAUAAGACCCUAUAAAACUUCACAUUGUAGUUAUAUUUUCUUGAAUUUUGAUAUAAAAGUUUAAUUUAAUUAUUUGUUAUAUUGGGGAGAUAUAAGUCAAAUUAAUUUUAACUGCUUAAAAUUGAAACAAUUAUUUAUGAAUAAAAGAUCCUUUAUAAAGAUUAAAAAAUUAAGUUACUUUAGGGAUAACAGCGUUAUUUCUUUAGAGAGUUCUUAUCGAGAAAGAAGAUUGCGACCUCGAUGUUGAAUUAAAAUAUCUAUAUAAUGUAGUAGUUAUAUAAGAAGGUCUGUUCGACCUUUAAAAUUUUACAUGAUUUGAGUUCAAACCGGCGUGAG